CUAGUGUUAGGGUUUGGCUAGGGUUACUAUUAAGCUAGUAUUAGGGUUGGGCUAGGUUUACUAUCAUCCAAGUGUUAAGGUUGGGCUAGGGUUAUGAUUAUGCUAGGGUUAGGGUCUGGCUAGGGUUACUCUUGUGCUAGAGUAUGGGUUUGGCUAGGGAUACUAUAAUGCGAGUGUUUGUGUUUGGCUAGGGUUUCUAUUAAGCAAGUGUUAGGUUUGUGCUAAGUUUACUAUUUUGCUAGGGUUAAGGUUGGGCUAGAGUUACUUUAAUGCAAGUGUUAGGGAUUGCCUAGUGUUACUAUUAUGCUAGGGUUAGGGACGGGUUAAGAUUCACUAUUAGACUAAAACGUGUCAUGAAAAUUAGACAAAAUUAGACAGUGAUUUGUGAGUUUGUUUCUAUGACAGGGCUUACUAAAAGACACC
Long non-coding RNA from Ictalurus punctatus (channel catfish), 423 nucleotides. Lineage: Eukaryota; Metazoa; Chordata; Actinopteri; Siluriformes; Ictaluridae. The record is from Ensembl.